ACAACUCAACACAAACCUUCUUGAACAGUUUCAAUAUCAUCUUUGUUUUUGGUUGAAACUCGCAACAACACAUUUCUCAUCUUUCCUCCAAAGGGCAUACCCAUCACAUCACAUCACCAUGGUUGAAACUAGACGCAGUUCCUCUUCUUCCAAGCGCUCUCUCUCUUCUCCUUCAUCUCCUCCUUCAAGCACUAAACGAUCCAAGGUUUCAGAGGAUGUCUCAUCCGCUGCAAAUCCCUCGCCGUCGGUUAACGAAUCCGCCAAAGGAGAUAUACGGUCAUCUGAUCUGCAAGAAACGUCGUCGUUGAAUGCUGUUGAUUGUGAUAACGAUAAGUCUUCUUCUGUGGCUGUCAAAACUGAGGCUUUAAUGUCUCCUCUUCGGUGUUUAGACUCAGGUGACAUUGCGGAGAAAUCAAAGGGUUUGCCACCCAUAGCUCGGCCGAAGAAACGCGGCAUCAAACUGUGUCCCAAGGCUGAGGAUGCUUGGGGAAAGCUCAUUUCUCAAUCUUCCGAGAAUCCUCACCUGUCCAUGUGUGAGCCUAUUUACACAGUUGGUCAAGGUCGACAAUGUAAUUUAUGGCUUAAAGAUCCCGCUCUUAGUCAUGUUUUGUGCAAAUUGAGCCACAUAGAGUUUGCACAGCAUGGAAGUUCAUCUGUUGCAUUGCUUGAAAUCGUAGGGAGUAAAGGUGCUGUGCAAGUUAACGGGAAGUCAUAUGGUAAGAAAUCCUGUCUAAUUUUAAGUGGAGGUGAUGAGGUUGUCUUUGGCUCUUCAGGGAAGGAAGCUUAUAUCUUUCAGCAGCUCAGUAAUAAUAAUAAUAAUGUCACUACUGCCAGUGCCAAUGUACCUUCUCCUGUGAGUAUUUUAGAAGCCCAGGGUGCUCCAAUAACUGGAACGCAAGUUGAUGCUAGAUCUGGAGACCUAUCGGCUGUUGCUGGAGCUUCAAUAUUAGCUUCUUUUCCUAAUCUUGAUAAAGAAUUAUCUGUCACUCCACCUCCUGGUAACACUAGCAUGAACUUGCAACAGAACACUGACGUUGCAUCAGUACCUGCCAGUAAUGGGGAUGAAACGCCAAACACUGAAGUGAAGCAGAGCACCAAUCAUAAAGAAUCGAAUGGAGUUUUUUCUUCUGAGGAAACUGGUCUUCUGUCCUCUGCCACUGUUAAUGAAGAUCCUAAGGUUGACUCUCUAGAUGUCAAUGCUGGUGUGGAUACAGAUGUUGGGAAGACGACUGCUCCUGCAGGCAACUUGAGACCAUUAUUGCACAAGCUUUCUGGAUCAUGUCCUGCAUUUGAUUUAAGUGGCAACAUUGCCAGGAUAUUGGGAGAACGAAAGGAAUUAAGGGAACUCCUUAAAGAUGUUGAUACCCCGACAGCAUUGGCACCGCCCAGGAAACAAGUUUCGACGGAUAAUUUACGGUUGAGAAUUCUCUGUGCUGAGAAUAUUGAUGUUUCAUUUGAAAGUUUCCCAUAUUAUCUAAGUGAUACAACAAAGAAUGUUUUGAUUGCUUCUGUGUACAUUCAUUUGAAGUGCAAUGGCUCUGGAAAAUUUGUUUCAGACCUUCCGUCAUUGUCCCCUCGGAUAUUGUUAUCUGGUCCUGCAGGUUCAGAAAUAUAUCAAGAGACUCUGUCCAAGGCACUUGCAAAAUAUUUUGGUGCGAGGCUAUUAAUUGUGAAUUAUCUCUCUCCUCCCGGGCGAGCACCACUGAAGGAUGUUGAUUCUACCAAAGAAAGUUCAAGGCCUGAAAGACCAUCUGUGUUUACCAAGAGAAGUACUCAAGCUAUUACAUUACCGCUCAAGAGACCAUCUACUAGUGUUGAUGCCCAAAUUAUAGGUGGUUCCUCAUUAAGUUCACCGGCUAUUGUGAAGCAAGAAGUUUCUACGGCAUCGUCAAAAGGCAUUACUCUUAAAACAGGUGAUCGGGUAAAAUUUGUCGGUGAUUUCCCUUCUGCUGUCUCAUCACCGCAAGAUUUUCCUUCAAGGGGGCCGAGUUAUGGUUGCCGGGGCAAAGUUCUCCUCGCUUUUGAAAAUAAUGGGUCUUCAAAAAUUGGGGUUAGAUUUGAGAAAUCAAUUCCAGAUGGAAACGAUCUUGGUGGCCUUUGUGAAGAUGACCGUGGCUUCUUUUGUGCUGCCAAUCAUUUAGUACUGGUAGAUGGUUGUGGAGGGGACGAAUCUAGCAAAAUUGCUGUUAGUGAAAUCUUUGAGAUUGCCUCUAAUCUGAGUAAAACUGGAGCACUAGUGGUGUUCAUUAAAGAUAUAGAGAAGGGUGUGGCUGGGAACUCAGAAGUUUUGAAAAGUAGGCUCAGUAACUUGCCACCAAAUGUUGUAGUAAUUGGUUCACAUAUCCAACCGGACAAUCGUAAGGAGAAGACCCAACCUGGCAGUCUUCUGUUUACAAAAUUUGGAGGCAAUCAGACAGCACUACUUGAUCUUGCUUUUCCGGAUAACUUUACUAGACUCCAUGAUAGGAGCAAAGAAACCCCCAAAGUAAUGAAGCAACUCAAUAGGCUUUUCCCAAACAGAGUUACAAUACAGCUGCCUCAGGAUGAGGCUUUGAUUUCUGAUUGGAAGCAGCAGCUAGAACGUGACAUAGAAACUAUGAAAGCUCAGUCCAACGUUGUCAGCAUUCGCUCAGUUCUCAAAAGGUUUGAACUGGAUUGCCCUGACCUUGACACUCUCUGCAUCAAAGAUCAAACUCUGACAACUGAAAAUGCGGAGAAGAUUAUUGGCUGGGCUAUAAGUUACCAUUUUAUGCAUUCAUCUGAACCUUCUUUCAAUGAUUCAAAGCCUUUGAUAUCUGCUGAGAGCAUUCAAUAUGGGUUUAACAUUCUACAGGGCAUUCUAAAUGAGAACAAAAGCGUAAAAAAAUCACUGAAGGACGUAGUUACUGAGAAUGAAUUUGAGAAAAAACUGCUUGCUGAUGUUAUUCCACCAACUGAUAUUGGGGUCUCAUUUGAUGAUAUUGGAGCUUUAGAAAAUGUGAAGGACACCUUAAAGGAAUUGGUUAUGCUUCCUCUUCAAAGGCCUGAAUUGUUUUGCAAAGGGCAACUAACUAAGCCUUGCAAGGGAAUAUUGCUUUUUGGCCCCCCUGGCACGGGAAAAACAAUGCUUGCAAAGGCUGUAGCAACUGAAGCUGGAGCAAAUUUUAUUAACAUCUCCAUGUCCAGCAUUACUUCAAAGUGGUUUGGUGAAGGAGAAAAAUAUGUCAAAGCAGUCUUUUCUCUGGCUAGCAAAAUUGCUCCAAGCGUUAUUUUUGUUGAUGAGGUUGAUAGUAUGUUAGGGAGACGCGAAAAUCCUGGUGAGCAUGAGGCUAUGCGUAAAAUGAAGAAUGAGUUUAUGGUCAAUUGGGAUGGUCUGCGUACAAAAGAUAGAGAGCGUGUACUUGUUCUUGCUGCCACAAACAGGCCUUUUGAUCUUGAUGAGGCUGUUAUUAGGAGGCUUCCACGAAGAUUGAUGGUUAAUUUGCCAGAUGCAACAAACAGAGAAAAAAUUAUGAGAGUCAUUUUAGCAAAGGAAGAUUUGGCGCCUGAUGUUGAUUUAGAAGCAUUAGCAAAUAUGACUGAUGGAUAUUCCGGAAGUGACCUAAAGAAUCUGUGUGUCACAGCAGCGCAUUGUCCAAUAAGAGAGAUCUUGGAGAAGGAAAAGAAGAUAUUUUUUUCGGGGGGAGGGAGCGCUCAACAUUGCUAUGGCUCAUCGAAGUUAGUCUGAAAUGUGAGAAGUAUAUACAAUGGAGAAGUGAUUGAUAAAACUCCAAUUUUCCAUUACGAUUAUCACAAGAACUAAAGACCCAACAAUUCAGUCUCACAAUUUCAAUUCAACCCAAUUUAGUCGCUAUACCCAAAUUUAAUACAAGAACGAAAGAUGCUGACUUAUAAGUUUUUUGAGACAAAUCAUCACUCCUUUUGAAUUAUUCAACAAAAAAGACCAACAUCAGUUCCUCGCUCACUUGGGCCAAAUUAGUCCCUCCCUUUGAAUUUCAAAUUGUUCAACAAAAAAGAUCCAAAUCAUUCUCUCGACGAGGUCAACUUCGGAUGCCACUUUAUUGUAGAAUGUGUUUUGUGACUGUCAUCUUUACUGCUGUUUCAAUGGGACUGGUUGAAAUUCUAAUGCAUGGAUUACUUCACUUUAAUAUUGAAGGAGAAAAGCUUAGCGUUGGCUGAGAACAAACCUAUACCUGAACUGUGUGGCAGUGCCGACAUUCGGCCCUUAAAGAUGGAAGAUUUUAGAUAUGCACAUGAGCAGGUGUGUGCGAGCGUAUCAUCCGAGUCAACAAAUAUGAACGAACUACUCCAAUGGAAUGACCUCUAUGGAGAAGGUGGCUCGAGAAAAAAGACAUCUUUGAGCUAUUUCAUGUAAAGCUAUCUGUUUAGAAUUUAUUACUUAGAAUAUAUUCCAUCAUUUGUCCUGCCUUAAAUGUAUUAUAGCAUAAGGGUUCCCUUUUUUCCUUUCCUAACCAUCUUUUGAGAUAAAAGGUUAUUUUUAGUGGCCCUGCUGAUCCAACUCUUUUCCUCUUCCCCUGGCAUUGUGAGAUGCCCUUUUGUAAAUACUAAAUCAGUACAUACAAAAUAAAAUAGUUUUUAUUUUGCUAAUUUCAUAGAUAUAUUUUAAGGUGUUGUAUUUGUAAUUUCCAUAUUGAAAAUUAGACAUCGUAAAUGUUUGAUGUGGUACUGGUGCUAACUGCAAAUCCAUUAUGGAAUGUGAUUAUUCUAACUUGUCAAUGUU
This is a non-coding RNA of Cicer arietinum (chickpea), 4720 nucleotides long. NCBI's taxonomy places the organism in Eukaryota, Viridiplantae, Streptophyta, Magnoliopsida, Fabales, Fabaceae. The record is from RefSeq and is a predicted model, not a curated record.